GAGACAGCAGUCGCCGCGGUAAAACGGAGGGUGCAAGCGUUAUCCGGAUUUAUUGGGUUUAAAGGGUCCGUAGGCGGAUCUGUAAGUCAGUGGUGAAAUCUCACAGCUUAACUGUGAAACUGCCAUUGAUACUGCAGGUCUUGAGUAAAUUUGAAGUGGCUGGAAUAAGUAGUGUAGCGGUGAAAUGCAUAGAUAUUACUUAGAACACCAAUUGCGAAGGCAGGUCACUAAGAUUUAACUGACGCUGAUGGACGAAAGCGUGGGGAGCGAACAGGAUUAGAUACCCCAGUAGUCCCUGUCUCUUAUAC
This 308-nucleotide ribosomal RNA is filed under the name uncultured bacterium. Its description in RNAcentral is "partial 16S ribosomal RNA". It matches the Rfam family "Bacterial small subunit ribosomal RNA", at positions 505 to 807 of the family's 1533-position model. The record is from RNAcentral.